This 475-nucleotide small RNA is filed under the name Arabidopsis thaliana (thale cress). RNAcentral describes it as "ATSL262060". The record is from RNAcentral. Lineage: Eukaryota; Viridiplantae; Streptophyta; Magnoliopsida; Brassicales; Brassicaceae.
AAAAGAAAAGCUGGUUCGUCGUUCUCACACACUACACAUUCGGAAAACCAUUUAUAUAAGCUCUCUCUCUCUCUCUGUGGACGGAAGCUCUCGCUCUGAUCUCACAAUGUAAGCUCUCUCUCUCUCUGUGUUGUGUGUUUGUAUUUCUCUCCGACGCUAGAUUUCUCCAUGGUUCUUAUGAGCUGAGCACCGCCGAAGCUUUCCUCUGCAUUCCGUCGUCCCUCUCUUUUGUCUCUUUCUCCGACCCUAGCUCUCUCUCUUCUCUUCCGUUUAUCACCAUCGCCGUUAGCCCGUUACCAUUCUCUCUCUCUCUUCUCCGUUCUCCGUUAACUUAUUCACGAUCUACUAAGGUUUUUAAUUUUUGUUUGUUAUUAUUAUAGGAUGCGGAUUUCUGUGAUGAAGCCCGUUCGCCACCAACAGGUUCUUCUUCCUGGACUCUUGAAGCGUGCGGUACGUAAUCAUAAAUCUUUCAAUC